Long non-coding RNA from Neopelma chrysocephalum (saffron-crested tyrant-manakin), 148 nucleotides. RefSeq lists it as uncharacterized. The record is from RefSeq and is a predicted model, not a curated record. The transcript has 3 exons. NCBI's taxonomy places the organism in Eukaryota, Metazoa, Chordata, Aves, Passeriformes, Pipridae.
CAGGAUCAACUGACUGUUUUGCUGGACUUGCUCGUUAAAAGCUUUCUAAGCCUCACAAAAGACAUCUGUCUGACAAUGGAUAGACAUAUCCUUCAAAUGACACAGGUUGUAGAAAAACCUUCCAUCAAGACCUUGGCAAAAUCCAGGA